This is a small RNA of Lasius niger, 74 nucleotides long. It matches the Rfam family "bZIP non canonical Hac1/Xbp1 intron". Rfam says of the family: bZIP intron RNA is a non-canonical intron that was first reported in HAC1 gene in yeast and XBP1 gene in Metazoa. Lineage: Eukaryota; Metazoa; Arthropoda; Insecta; Hymenoptera; Formicidae. The record is from Rfam.
GGCUGCGCUGCACCUUUACCAGGAUCUGCAGUAUCCUUUGAUAACCCUCUGCCGCAGGGUGGGUCAGCACAGCC